CAGUGAGCUGGGGGAAUGAAGAAAGGGGUUUCUGGAAGCCAACUUGAAGACACCGGUUUAAAAUAACUCUCGAACUCCAGCCCCAAGCCCAGCACCAUGGGGUGAUCUGCCCAAAUUCAUCAAGCACUUCGUACGUGCUGGAUCCCACGGUAUGCGUGUUAUAGACCCCUGUCAUUCGAUCCCCUCAACAACUCCACGAGUGCGGUUACAAAACUCGUGAAGUCAGGAGCUGGGGCAGCCAUCUUGCAAGCAUGAAGAGGCAAGCCUGAAGACAAAAGCCAGCAAUGCUGAGGAUGGAGAAGCCAAAAGAUGGGAAGGAACCGGGUUUUCCAUUUCAGCCUCUGAAUUUACUGAUCCUUGAACCACUCGGCCCCCAAACUUCUUGUUAUGCAAGAUGGAUUGCUGUGCCCAGACAUGCCUGGCUCUCAGCAGAAGAGCUCAUGUUGGGCUCUCCACUAUAGGUGUCUCUGGCCUCUCUGAAGAAAUAAUAAACUGCUUGUGGGUCCAAAGUU
Molecule: long non-coding RNA, 512 nt
Organism: Zalophus californianus (California sea lion)
Lineage: Eukaryota; Metazoa; Chordata; Mammalia; Carnivora; Otariidae
Exons: 3
Source: RefSeq, a predicted model, not a curated record